UCUUGGUCAUUUAGAGGAAGUAAAAGUCGUAACAAGGUCUCCGUAGGUGAACCUGCGGAGGGAUCAUUACACAAAUAUGAAGGCGGGCUGGAACCUCUCGGGGUUACAGCCUUGCUGAAUUAUUCACCCUUGUCUUUUGCGUACUUCUUGUUUCCUUGGUGGGUUCGCCCACCACUAGGACAAACAUAAACCUUUUGUAAUUGCAAUCAGCGUCAGUAACAAAUUAAUAAUUACAACUUUCAACAACGGAUCUCUUGGUUCUGGCAUCGAUGAAGAACGCAGCGAAAUGCGAUAAGUAGUGUGAAUUGCAGAAUUCAGUGAAUCAUCGAAUCUUUGAACGCACAUUGCGCCCUUUGGUAUUCCAAAGGGCAUGCCUGUUCGAGCGUCAUUUGUACCCUCAAGCUUUGCUUGGUGUUGGGCGUCUUGUCUCUAGCUUUGCUGGAGACUCGCCUUAAAGUAAUUGGCAGCCGGCCUACUGGUUUCGGAGCGCAGCACAAGUCGCACUCUCUAUCAGCAAAGGUCUAGCAUCCAUUAAGCCUUUUUUUCAACUUUUGACCUCGGAUCAGGUAGGGAUACCCGCUGAACUUAAGCAUAUCAAUAAGCGGAGGA
Molecule: ribosomal RNA, 609 nt
Filed under: fungal sp. MG132Nc3L5x
Lineage: Eukaryota; Fungi
Also listed under: 2 other names
Description: eukaryotic LSU rRNA
Rfam family: 5.8S ribosomal RNA (bases 235-388)
Source: RNAcentral